Molecule: long non-coding RNA, 497 nt
Organism: Vicia villosa (hairy vetch)
Lineage: Eukaryota; Viridiplantae; Streptophyta; Magnoliopsida; Fabales; Fabaceae
Exons: 2
Source: RefSeq, a predicted model, not a curated record
GAGGAAAACAAUUAAACUACCAACAAUAAAGCACAAUAAUUAUUUGAUUAAAGUUUUAAAAUGUCAAAUAAAUUUGUAGUUGCUUUGUUGUUGGCGGUGUGCCUUGUAACUGUUCAAGGUCAGAAUAUUACCUAUAAUGCAGACUCAGGCAAAAUGAGUGUGACUCAUGAAGAUUGCUACAGUUCUUGCACCGGUGGAACUAAAUUUACUAUAAUCUUUAUACAUUUUGCGUGUAAAGGACAUUGUUAUUUCUUCAAUCGUUGAAUCUUUUGAUAAUUUGGGCGCAAGGAAGCAUGGUCGAAUUGGUGCUCCUACAAGAUAUUCUGACCCAGUUCCAUAUGCUUAUAAAGCAUAAUGGAUUUAACCAAAAAAACACAAAUUUAGGUCAUGUCAUCAUCCUCUUUCCCCGUAUUGUCGUCAAUUAUUUGUUAACUAUUAUAUAUAAUUAAAUUUAUUUAACGUAAGUUAAUUUAUCAAUUAUAUGUUAUUUUUCCAAA